RNAcentral lists this transfer RNA (63 nucleotides) under Micromelo undatus (miniature melo). Its description in RNAcentral is "Micromelo undata (miniature melo) tRNA-Gly". Lineage: Eukaryota; Metazoa; Mollusca; Gastropoda; Aplustridae. The record is from RNAcentral.
CUUUAAUUAGUAUAAUAUUGUACAUUUACCUUCCAAGUAAAAAGUCUAGAUUUAGAUUAAAGU